AGAGUUUGAUCCUGGCUCAGGAUGAACGCUGGCGGCGUGCCUUAGGCAUGCAAGUGGAACGAUUCAAGCUUGCUUGAAGAGUCGCGAACGGCUGAGUAACACGUAGGAAUCUACCUCUUGGUGGGGAAUAACCAGCUGAAAGGCUGGCUAAUACCGCAUAAGAUCCUAGAUGAAAGGGCGUAACUGCCCGCCGAGAGAGGAGCCUGCGGCCUAUCAGCUUGUUGGUGUGGUAAUGGCACACCAAGGCUACGACGGGUAGGGGGCGUGAGAGCGUGUACCCCCAGAAUGGCACUGAGAUACGGGCCAUACACCUACGGGUGGCAGCAACCGGGAAUUGUGCGCAAUGGACGAAAGUCUGACGCCGCGACGCCGCGUGAGGGAUGAAGGCCUUUGGGUUGUAAACCUCUUUUGCCAGAAGGGAGACCGACUGGAGAAUAAGCACCCGCUAACUACGUGCCAGCAGCUGCGGUAAUACGUAGGGUGCAAGCGUUAUCCGGAUUUAUUGGGCGUAAAGCGUUUCGUAGGUGUCUUGAUAAGUUACUCUUCAAAGACUGGGGCUCAACUUCAGAAAGGGGGGUAAUACUGUCAGGAUUGAAGUACUUCGGGGUUACUGGAAUUGUCGGUGUAGGGGUGAUAUCCGUUGAUAUCGUCAAGAACACCAAGGGCGUAGGCGGGUAGCUAGGAGUUACUUGACACUGAGGAACGAAAGCUAGGGUAGCGAAAGGGAUUAGAGACCCCUGUAGUCCUAGCCGUAAACGAUGCUCGCUAGGGAUUGGUCUUUCGGGAUCAGUUCCGUAAGCUAACGCGUGAAGCGAGCCGCCUGGGGAGUACGGCCGCAAGGCUAAAACUCAAAGGAAUUGACGGGGACCCGCACAACCAGUGGAGCAUGUGGUUUAAUUCGAGACGAACCGAAGAACCUUACCUGGACUUGACAUACUAGCUGCACGUCUUAAGAAAUUAAGACUCUUUUGAAGGUGCUAGUACAGGUGUUGCAUGGCUGUCGUCAGCUCGUGCCGUGGGGUGUUCCCUUCAGUGGGGUAACGAGCGCAACCCUUGCCGUAUGUUGAAUUGUUCAUACGGGACUAUCCACCUUAGGUGGGAGGAAGUGGGGACGACGUCAAGUCAGCAUGGCCCUUAUGUCCAGGGCGACACACAUGCUACAAUGGAGCCGACAAAGGGUUGCCAAGUGGUAACACGGAGCUAAUCCCAUCAAACGGCUUCUCAGUGGGGAUUGGGGGCUGCAACUCGCCCUCAUGAACGAGGAAUUGGUAGUAAUCGCGGAUCAGCCAAGCCGCGGUGAAUACGUUCUCGGGUCUUGUACACACCGCCCGUCAAGUGAGUGAAGUUGGGGGCACCCGAAUACCGUUUGUAACGGUAGAAGGUGAAUUCAGCGACAAGCACUAAGUCGUAACAAGGUAACC
RNAcentral lists this ribosomal RNA (1421 nucleotides) under uncultured Microgenomates group bacterium. Its description in RNAcentral is "bacterial SSU rRNA". It matches the Rfam family "Bacterial small subunit ribosomal RNA". The record is from RNAcentral.